Molecule: ribosomal RNA, 433 nt
Filed under: uncultured bacterium
Lineage: Bacteria
Description: partial 16S ribosomal RNA
Rfam family: Bacterial small subunit ribosomal RNA
Source: RNAcentral
AGCGAACGCUGGCGGCAGGCCUAACACAUGCAAGUCGAACGAACUCUUCGGAGUUAGUGGCGGACGGGUGAGUAACACGUGGGAACGUGCCUUUUGGUUCGGAAUAACUCAGGGAAACUUGUGCUAAUACCGAAUGUGCCCUUCGGGGGAAAGAUUUAUCGCCAUUAGAGCGGCCCGCGUCUGAUUAGCUAGUUGGUGAGGUAACGGCUCACCAAGGCGACGAUCAGUAGCUGGUCUGAGAGGAUGACCAGCCACACUGGGACUGAGACACGGCCCAGACUCCUACGGGAGGCAGCAGUGGGGAAUCUUGCGCAAUGGGCGAAAGCAUGACGCAGCCAUGCCGCGUGAAUGAUGAAGGUAUUAGGAUUGUAAAAUUCUUUCAACGGGGAAGAUAAUGACGGUACCCGGAGAAGAAGCCCCGGCUAACUUCGUG